AUUUUUGGCACACGGAGGCCCCUCGCAAAGUCUCGCGGCAUUCCGAGUCUGGCGGACGAAUUUGGCCAGCCCCACCCCCCAAGGUUAUAGCCCACCCGUUUUUGUGGCCUUUUUCCGCUGGAUGAACUUGGCGCCCCGACCUUCGAGCGGUUAAUUUUGGGCGCGGCUUUACCCGCCGCCUAGUUUUUGAACACGGAGGCCCCUCACAAAGUCUCGCGGCAUUCCGAGUCCGACGGACGAAGUUGGCCAGCAUCACCCCCCAAGGCUAUAGCCCACCCGUUUUUGUGGCCUUUUUCCGCUGGACGAACUUGGCGCCCCGGCCUUCGGGCUGUUAAUUUUCGACGCCGCUUUGCCCACGGCCUAUUUUUGGCACACGGAGGCCCCUCGCAAAGUCUCGAGGCAUUCCGAGUCCGGCGGACGAAGUUGGCCAGCCCCACCCCCCACGGCUAUAGCCCACCCGUUUUUGUGGCCUUUUUCCGCGGGACGAACUUGGCGCCCCGGCCUUCGGGCGGUUAAUUUUGGGUGCGGCUUUGCCCGCGGCCUAUUUUUGGCACAUGGAGGCCCCUCGCAAAGUCUCGCGGCAUUCCGAGUCCGGCGGACGAAGUUGGCCAGCAUCACCCCCCAAGGCUAUAGCCCACCCGUUUUUGUGGCCUUUUUCCGCGGGACGAACUUGGCGCCCCGGCCUUCGGGCAGUUAAUUUUGGACGCGGCUUUGCCCGCGGCCUAUUUUUGGCACACGGAGGCCCCUCGCAAAGCCUCGCGGCAUUCCGAGUCCGGCGGACGAAGUGGGCCAGCAUCACCCCACAAGGCUAUAGCCCACCCGUUUUUGUGGCCUUUUUCCGCUGGACGAACUUGGCGCCCCGGCCUUCGGGCGGUUAAUUUUGGACGCGGCUUUGCCCACGACCUAUUUUUGGCACACGGAGGCCCCUCGCAAAGUCUCGCGGCAUUCCGAGUCCGGCGGACGAAGUUGGCCAGCAUCACCCCCCUAGGCUAUAGCCCACCCGUUUUUGUGGCCUUUUUCCGCUGGACGAACAUGGCGCCCUGGCCAUCGGGCGGUUAUUUUUGGGUGUGGCUUUGUCCGCGGCCUAUUUUUGGCACACGGAGGCCCCUCGCAAAGUCAUGCGGCAUUCCGAGUCUGGCGGACGAAUUUGGCCAGCCCCACCCCCCAAGGCUAUAGCCCACCCGUUUUUGUGGCCUUUUUCCGCUGGAUGAACUUGGCGCCCCGACCUUCGAGUGGUUAAUUUUGGGCGCGGCUUUACCCGCCGCCUAGUUUUUGAACACGGAGGCCCCUCACAAAGUCUCGCGGCAUUCCGAGUCCGACGGACGAAGUUGGCCAGCAUCACCCCCCAAGGCUAUAGCCCACCCGUUUUUGUGGCCUUUUUCCGCUGGACGAACUUGGCGCCCCGGCCUUCGGGCUGUUAAUUUUCGACGCCGCUUUGCCCACGGCCUAUUUUUGGCACACGGAGGCCCCUCGCAAAGUCUCGAGGCAUUCCGAGUCCGGCGGACGAAGUUGGCCAGCCCCACCCCCCACGGCUAUAGCCCACCCGUUUUUGUGGCCUUUUUCCGCUGGACGAACUUGGCGCCCCGGCCUUCGGGCUGUUAAUUUUCGACGCCGCUUUGCCCACGG
RNAcentral lists this long non-coding RNA (1626 nucleotides) under Citrus x clementina. Its description in RNAcentral is "Citrus clementina (C. clementina) long non-coding RNA (CCLE_LNC003790)". Lineage: Eukaryota; Viridiplantae; Streptophyta; Magnoliopsida; Sapindales; Rutaceae. The record is from RNAcentral.